UGGGGAAUAUUGCACAAUGGGCGCAAGCCUGAUGCAGCGACGCCGCGUGAAGGAAGAAGGUCUUCGGAUUGUAAACUUCUAUCAGCAGGGAAGAAAAAUGACGGUACCUGACUAAGAAGCCCCGGCUAACUCCGUGCCAGCAGCCGCGGUAAUACGGAGGAUGCGAGCGUUAUCCGGAUUUAUUGGGUUUAAAGGGUGCGCAGGCGGCGCGCCAAGUCAGCGGUCAAAGUUCCGGGCUCAACCCGGUGUCGCCGUUGAAACUGGCGUGCUCGAGUGCGUGCGAGGAAGGCGGAAUGCGUUGUGUAGCGGUGAAAUGCAUAGAUAUGACGCAGAACUCCGAUUGCGAAGGCAGCUUUCCAGCGCGCUACUGACGCUGAGGCACGAAAGCGUGGGGAUCGAACAGGAUUAGAUACCCUGGUAGU
RNAcentral lists this ribosomal RNA (422 nucleotides) under uncultured Lachnospiraceae bacterium. RNAcentral's name for it is "bacterial SSU rRNA". It matches the Rfam family "Bacterial small subunit ribosomal RNA", at positions 355 to 794 of the family's 1533-position model. The record is from RNAcentral. Lineage: Bacteria; Bacillati; Bacillota; Clostridia; Lachnospirales; Lachnospiraceae.